This is a long non-coding RNA of Cyclopterus lumpus (lumpfish), 332 nucleotides long. RefSeq lists it as uncharacterized. The record is from RefSeq and is a predicted model, not a curated record. NCBI's taxonomy places the organism in Eukaryota, Metazoa, Chordata, Actinopteri, Perciformes, Cyclopteridae. The transcript has 4 exons.
UUUUGAAGGUACAUAACCAGAAGUUGUUAGUGAGAAAAAGUUUCUAUAACGACGAGAAAUAGAUUAAAAACCAGUAAGAAGGUUACGGGGGCGUUGGCGAGCACGUGACGUGGCACCAGGUUCUCCAGUGUGUAGGUGCCAUUACGUCACUGUCGUUCCUCACCUUGCGACCCGGAGAGAAGAAGAAGAAGCUGCACGUGCUGGAAGUCCAGGUCACAAAUCAGCUGGUCCUCGUAGCUCUGAAGGAACCUCCAGGAGAAGAAGAAGUCCACUUGUCUUGCCUCUCGUCCCCGUUACGGCUCUGCGGGUCGAGCACGUUGGACUCUGGACCG